Molecule: ribosomal RNA, 253 nt
Filed under: uncultured bacterium
Lineage: Bacteria
Description: partial 16S ribosomal RNA
Rfam family: Bacterial small subunit ribosomal RNA
Source: RNAcentral
UACGGAGGGUCCGAGCGUUAUCCGGAAUCAUUGGGUUUAAAGGGUCCGUCGAUGGGACAUUAAGUCAGGGGUGUAAUGUUGCAGCUCAACUGCAGAAUGGCCUUUGAUACUGGUGUUUUUGGGUUAUGUUGAUGUGGUCGGAACAUGUGGUUUAGCGGUUCAAUGCAUAUAUAUCACAUAGGACGCCGAUUGCGAAGGCAUGUCACAAAGCAUAUACUGACGCUGAGGGACGAAAGCGUGGGGAGCGAACGGG